This 976-nucleotide long non-coding RNA is filed under the name Anas platyrhynchos platyrhynchos (common mallard). Its description in RNAcentral is "lncRNA (ENSAPLG00000021359.1)". The record is from RNAcentral. Lineage: Eukaryota; Metazoa; Chordata; Aves; Anseriformes; Anatidae.
AUGAGGGGAGCGGGGCGAAGCUGGGGGGACAGCGGGAGCCUCGGCGGGCGGCAGAGGGCGCCCCGAAUUCCGCCAGAGAGGGGCCGGGAGGAGCCUCCGGCUCGGCUCGGCCGAGGAGGGAGGGAGGAAAGGAGGAGAAGGAGGAGGAGGAGGAGGAGGAGGGAGCUGCCACGUCCUCUGCGCCGAGCGGCGCCAGCCCCGCGCCUCACUCAGCCCCACGUGUGGCGGAGCGGGGGAAGUUGCGGCGGGGAGCCCGGACUCUGCCCCUCGCUGGCCGCCUGUCCCUGCUCUCAGGAGGGCGCAGCUCCGAGAGAAAUUCAGCACGAAGAGGCCUUCUGACAGGUUUUGGCCUUAGCAGCCGUUAGAAGCGCAGGAGAGGAAGAAUUAAGAGGAAGAGCUGCAGUGUGCAGAGUCUGAAGAAUUACCAUCAGUAUUUCCAGUCCCCGUUUCGUGUGAUGUGAGGAGAAAGUUGACUGAGGAUGAAAUCUGAGAGCUAGAUAAGGCCCCACAAGCAGCAGAAAGCUUUCUGGGCUGUGCUCAGUCUUCUAAAAUACAGUUUAAGAAACAGCCAACAAAAUAUGUUUUCCAGGGGCUGAAAAGAUUUCUAGGUGGUGAUUCCUGUUCAUCUGUAAGCUUCAAAUGCAUUUGAUAAUCCCCAUAAAAUGUGAUUCAAAAGUAUUUUUAAGCUUAACCUUAUUUUAAUUAAAAAGAGGCAUCAUGGCAGGAUAUUCCACAUUGCAUGUUUGCUGAACCGCAUAUGCUAGCUAGAUAAAUGACAGGAAAUUUUUGCUCUCUGCUGUUUAUUUGCUGCUGUCUUUGGUGCCAAAUUUUAGUUGUUGCAGGGUUGUUUUCUUUGGGAAUUGAAUGGGGAUGCAUUUUUUGCUGAAUAUUUUCAUUCUGGGAAUGUUUUCAUUUGUCGUGUGAAAAUAAUAUGAUGCUGCGUUACCAAAAAUAAAGAAAAGUUAGGUUGUAGGCA